UUGUUUAAAAACAGAAAAUACCUAGUGAACUGAAGUGAACCAUUAAAAGAACUCCGACCUGGUGAGUUUAUCGGCCGAUACCACCCCUGUUGCCACCUUCACAUUAGAAGGAGAAACUGCAAGAUGACACCAAAACAACACGAACCCCCC
Molecule: long non-coding RNA, 150 nt
Organism: Melanotaenia boesemani (Boeseman's rainbowfish)
Lineage: Eukaryota; Metazoa; Chordata; Actinopteri; Atheriniformes; Melanotaeniidae
Exons: 3
Source: RefSeq, a predicted model, not a curated record